Molecule: ribosomal RNA, 494 nt
Filed under: uncultured bacterium
Lineage: Bacteria
Description: bacterial SSU rRNA
Rfam family: Bacterial small subunit ribosomal RNA
Source: RNAcentral
AAAUGAAUAGACGGGGACCCGCACAAGCGGUGGAGCAUGUGGUUUAAUUCGAAGCAACGCGAAGAACCUUACCAAGGCUUGACAUCCCCCUGACAACCGUAGAAAUACGGUCUUGCUUCGGCACAGGGGAGACAGGUGGUGCAUGGUUGUCGUCAGCUCGUGUCGUGAGAUGUUGGGUUAAGUCCCGCAACGAGCGCAACCCUUGCCUUCAGUUGCCAGCAUUCAGUUGGGUACUUUGAAGGGACUGCCGCGAUCAUAACGCGGAGGAAGGUGGGGACGAUGUCAAAUCAUCAUGCCCCUUAUGUCUUGGGCAACACACGUGCUACAAUGGCUCAUACAAAGUGACGCAAUACCGCGAGGUGGAGCAAACCACAAAAAUGAGUCUCAGUUCGGAUUGCAGGCUGCAACCCGCCUGCAUGAAGUUGGAAUCGCUAGUAAUCGCAAAUCAGCAUGUUGCGGUGAAUACGUUCCCGGGUCUUGUACACACCGCCCGU